This 288-nucleotide ribosomal RNA is filed under the name uncultured bacterium. Its description in RNAcentral is "partial 16S ribosomal RNA". It matches the Rfam family "Bacterial small subunit ribosomal RNA", at positions 29 to 334 of the family's 1533-position model. The record is from RNAcentral.
AACGAACGCUGGCGGCAGGCCUAACACAUGCAAGUCGAACGAGAAGCUUCCUUCGGGAAGUGGAGAGUGGCGCACGGGUGAGUAACGCGUGGGAAUUUGCCUUUUGGUACGGGAUAACGUCUGGAAACGGACGCUAAUACCGUAUGAUAUCUACGGAUUAAAGAUUUAUCGCCAGAAGAGGAGCCCGCGUAGGAUUAGGUAGUUGGUGGGGUAAUGGCUCACCAAGCCGACGAUCCUUAGCUGUUCUGAGAGGAAGAUCAGCCACACUGGAACUGAGACACGGUCCAG